Molecule: ribosomal RNA, 394 nt
Filed under: uncultured bacterium
Lineage: Bacteria
Description: bacterial SSU rRNA
Rfam family: Bacterial small subunit ribosomal RNA
Source: RNAcentral
AAUGAACGCUGGCGGCGCGCCUAAUACAUGCAAGUCGAGCGAGAAGACGUAGCAAUACGUUUGUAAAGCGGCGAACGGGUGAGGAAUACAUGGGUAACCUACCCUCGAGUGGGGAAUAACUAGCCGAAAGGUUAGCUAAUACCGCGUACGCUUCUUGGACUUCGGUUCAGGGAGGAAAGCGAUGCCGAGGGUAUCGCGCUCUUGGAUGGGCUCAUGUCCUAUCAGCUUGNGGUGAGGUAACGGCUCACCAAGGCUUCGACGGGUAGCUGGUCCGAGAGGACGAUCAGCCACACUGGCACUGCGACACGGGCCAGACUCCUACGGGAGGCAGCAGUAAGGAAUAUUGCGCAAUGGGCGAAAAGCCUGACGCAGCGACGCCGCGUGGGGGAGUGAA